This is a long non-coding RNA of Triticum aestivum (bread wheat), 1951 nucleotides long. RefSeq lists it as uncharacterized. The transcript has 2 exons. The record is from RefSeq and is a predicted model, not a curated record. Lineage: Eukaryota; Viridiplantae; Streptophyta; Magnoliopsida; Poales; Poaceae.
GCAGCCAAUCACCCCUGAUUCUCUCUCACACGAACAGGUCAGGCGGAGUAUGUGACAACAGCGAAGCCGCCGCCACCCCCGAAUUCGGAUAGCUCCGGCGUUCUUUCGCGCGACCGCUCGCCGGUCGGGCUCUGAAUCAGUGCUCUCUUAAUGAUCCCCCGCCGCGGUGACGUCCUCCACUCACCGCCCCUGCUCUUCUCCGAUUCUCCAUGACUCCACCGCGGCGACGCCCUUCGCGCCCCAGCUCACCGGCCUGGCUCCAAUCAGUGCUCUCCUCGAAUCCUCCGCCUCGGCAACGUCGCCACGGGUAGCGUCUUGGGAUCCGGACCACGGGGUGACGUGGGCUCCGGACGCGCGGCUGCUUUCUUGGGAUGGACCGUGCUUCAUCGCCUUGGCUACCUCGACUCCAAUGGUUAUAGUUCAAGCAAGCAAAUUAUUUUGAAUGAUAAGGAGUUGCAACCAUCAAACGUAAGCCCUGCUACUGAUAAGGUAUGAUCACUUAUAUUCUGUUUGGGACCCAACAAAGUUAAGCUGCAAUGUUAUUGAUCGUACUUUUGAAAUAUCAAUGUUGGUUACCAUUCUUGCCAAUAUGACUAUAUAUCUUUUGUCAUUGAACAAAGAAACCUUGCUCCUGAAUGAAACUAUGCAACAAUGGAAGUAAAUGCUAGUGCAGAUAAGGUUCGUUCACUUUUUUCGAACUCAGAAACAAUGUCGAAGACCAUGAGGAGAUUUCCAAAAGAAGUUUAAUGUUGAUCCACAAUAGAGUGAACUUUGGAAAUGCUGAGAGUACCUUUUUUGCGCAACCUACUUCAGUUUAUGAAAUAAGGCUCAUUCUUUUGUGAGUUCAUUGUUCUAUAUCUAGUCAUCUUAGCCCCGUGGCUGAGUUCUAAUUAAUGGCGAAAGGACAAUGCAAUGGUUCUUGGAUAUCUCUGUUUGCCUUGCUCCCAUGUAAUUUAAAAUCAACUCUAAUGAUAUCAGUAGAUGGGAUGGAGUAAUGGAGUCCCAUAUGUAGCUACAGUUACUCGCAUCCAAUCCGUAGGCCUCUUUGUGUGCAUUUGUUUUUCCCAGUCACGAUAUCAUGGUAGCGCUGAAUCCAUUUCAAUUAUAACACCAUCAAUAAGUUUCUGGGUUCUGUAAUUAAUUGUUGUUUACACAUUAGGACCAGGAAAUUGGGCACCAAUAUAACAAAACCCAUGGUUACAGGUUUACUUUACACACAUCAUGAAUUCUCAAUCAUCAUGUGUACAUUUAUAUUCAGCUUUCUUCUUCAACUAUUCCUGGUUAUUUUGCUUCUUAUUAUUAGCAUGGUGGCCAGAACAUUAUGAUCUCAAAAGGUGCUAGUGCAAGAAAUCUGGCUAAUGCGUAGCUUAGACCUGCUCAAUCUUUUUGUUCUUUAUCUCAGUAUGUUAGAGCAUUAAUUAUACUUUAUACUAAUGUUCCAGAAAAUAUCUCCUGGAUAAAGAACAAUUCAAUGCAACAAAUUUGUGCAUGCCAACUCUAUAGAUUUAUGACUAUCAGGAUUUGAAUUGCUUGCAUUGGAAAUUGUUAUCAUCUACUUCUGUUUGUGAAAUAGGUUUGCUGUAUAGUAUUUUCAAAGAGGCUGGGAGAUCCAAGCAAGAAUGGUGCUCUUGCAAAACUCCUAUAUAUGGCGACCCUCUUAAAUUUACUACAUUAUUAACAUGUUUUUUAAUUUCUGUAAUGGUACGUUGCUGAUCAGCUUUUGUUGAUGUAGAUUGAUAGGACAAAUGGUUGAUGCAUGGCCAAGAUGUUGAUUUUGAGGCGCAUACUGGUGCUACUACCAGAUAGCUCGACAUUAUGUUUUAGAAUGUCAUUCAAUGGUCAAUGUUAGAGCAGAUCAUAUCUAUAUAUUAUGUAUUCUAUAUCAUGUAGUCCUCGGAUGAUGUCUUGUAGUGUAACAAUUUUUAUUUAAUAUAUGAGGUCUUUCUUACUA